Molecule: RNA transcript, 1060 nt
Organism: Prunus persica (peach)
Lineage: Eukaryota; Viridiplantae; Streptophyta; Magnoliopsida; Rosales; Rosaceae
Exons: 3
Source: RefSeq, a predicted model, not a curated record
GUGUUUAAUGUUACACGAUAAUUUAUUGUUUUUCCGAAAAAACUCUACAAUUAGGUGAUUGCUGUAGUUUAUAGUUUAUAUGGUAAAAAUAAAUGUAGUUUAUACAAUUUUAGUAAAAUUUAUUUGUCCUUCCAAUGAAAGUUUUCUGGCUCCGACUCUGUAAAGAUAAUGCAAGCCUAGAUUGGCGGUAAGCCUUAAUUUUACCAUCUAAUUAUGUGACUGAUUUACGUGUACAAUCUGGUCUUUCAUGCAUCAAUACACGAAGUCCCCUUACUCAUUAUGAACAAACAACAUCACACUAUAACAAUUAUCAAAGCACCUGAGACCUACUUUUAUGAAGAACAAAAUAUUACUCUUUGAUCCUGGCCUUUGUCAACCACAAGUCUCGCUGUUACUAUUUGGUUUGGAUUAGUAAAAUGGCAGAGCCUGCUAGAGUUCUAGACAACAAGGUUGAUGAUGAGGUGCAGGAAGACAGAGAAAUGGAGCAGAACGAAGAAUCGGUAGCAUCGCAAGAAUUGCCAAACUCAGUGUUUACAGCUGAGUUGAACCUCCUUAUCGUGUUUCUCUCAUUGAUUUCUUUGUCAACCGAAGAAAGCUUAAACUCUGUGGAGAGAGAACCAGAAAGAAGAAAUGAUGGAGCUAAAGCUAUCAAGAGAUUACAAAAGAAAAAACAGGAGACAGAUGAGGCCAAGCCGGUCCGGCGACGAACUCAAAGGUUUCAAACGAGAAUAAGGGAUUCUAGGCAUGGCCGACGAGUAUAAAGAAUGAUGUCGAUGAAGGAGGAAACUGCUCAGCAAGGAAAGAGAUGGCAAACGAUGUCAUACAAAAGUUUCCAAUUUCUCAUAACUAUAUUUUAUCCUAUUUUUCUCUACACUUAUUCCCCACAAUUAGACAAAAAGAAAACUAAGAAAGGAAAGGAGCAUGCUUGGAAUUCUUUCAAAUAAUAUUAUAAUCAUAUUUGUCCUAUUUUCAUGCAUCAUUCUGUAACGAAAUUGAUUGACAAACACAUUAUAUUAGAUUAUUGAUAUAUAAUGCAUGUUUUUUUCUUCUUUUUCUGCAA